Molecule: ribosomal RNA, 393 nt
Filed under: uncultured bacterium
Lineage: Bacteria
Description: partial 16S ribosomal RNA
Rfam family: Bacterial small subunit ribosomal RNA
Source: RNAcentral
AUACGGAGGAUCCGAGCGUUAUCCGGAUUUAUUGGGUUUAAAGGGAGCGUAGGCGGACGCUUAAGUCAGUUGUGAAAGUUUGCGGCUCAACCGUAAAAUUGCAGUUGAUACCGGGUGUCUUGAGUACAGUAGAGGCAGGCGGAAUUCGUGGUGUAGCGGGGAAAUGCUUAGAUAUAACUAAGAACUACGAUUGCGAAGGCAGCCUGCUGGACAGAUACUGUCGCUGAUGCCCGAAAGUGACGCUAUAAAACAGGAUUCGAUACCAUGGUAGUGCAGACCGUAACCGAUGCAUAAUCGAUGUGUGCGAUAGCCAGUAAGCGCCCAAGCGAAAACGUUAAGUAUUCACCCUGGGGAGUACGCCGGCAACGGUGAAACUCAAAUGAAUUGACGUGG